Asparagus officinalis (garden asparagus) is the source of this 452-nucleotide long non-coding RNA. RefSeq lists it as uncharacterized. The transcript is spliced from 3 exons. Lineage: Eukaryota; Viridiplantae; Streptophyta; Magnoliopsida; Asparagales; Asparagaceae. The record is from RefSeq and is a predicted model, not a curated record.
AUAUUACUUGCCCUAGAUGAAACCCCUAAUGUCUCUAAUGAGUCAACAUUGGAUAAAAUUCCUCUUAAUCAUUAUGUGUCUAAAAAUGAUCAAAAGAUUCUAAAAAACUAUGGCGGGGUCAAUUAGAAUCUUCAACUCCUAGCAUAUGCAUCUUCACAUAAACGAGGUGCUCUUCGCCAGACAAUGAGACUAAUUAUCUCUGCAAUCAAAUCAUCGACAGAUAAUAUUAAUGGGUUCGCACAACUUUAACAAUCCAUACAUCAAGCAAUUGGAGCAAGAUAUCUGCACUAUCACAGACAUGUUAUUGAUUUUGUAUUACGAUAUAAAAGAUGAAACAGAAUAGUGUUUGAACAACAAGAGAGCUAGCAUGUUAAGUUGCAGUUGAGACGUGGUUAUGUUUCAUUCGUUGCUAUUAGAUAAAUCAUUAUGUUACGUGAUAUAAGUGAAAUCAG